GAGUUUCGGGCGCUGAGUCGAAUGGUCUUGGUCCGAAGUCUCUACGACAAAGCGUUCUUGAGAUAUUUCACUUUGAAAUUGCAAAAACGGGGGCCGCGCCCUGACGUCAUGCGGCCAUUUGGUUACAUCAUCACGGGCUGCCUACGUCAUUGUGGCAAAGUCGUUUCUCUUCGCCAGUCUACAAGCACUAAUUUUAGUUGGUAUUUCAAGGGAAGAUGGGCGAUUCCGAACAAUCCUCUGUCCCCAGCAAUGAAGGCAGCGAUGCUGAGGCCAGUGAGGACGACCAACAGCCCACCGCCGCGUAUGGUUGGGGCAGGGAGCCCAGAUACUCUGCUGAGGAGCUGCCAUCGCGUGUAACAAAUGUGGAGGAAGAAGAUGCGUCAGCAGCUGCGUCCGACAGAAGACGAGUAGCUUGGCCACCAGAAUCUCGAUUCGUUUGGGACUCCGACUGGUGCGAGCGUGGACAAAAGUGUAUAGCCAUGCCCAGCCCGCGGGAAUGAUUUUGCUGGUAGGAUGCUGCCGUCGCUGUCGACAAGACGGCCCAAGGUUUCUUGCGUAGCGGACCUCGCAGAUUACGAGAUCGUAUCCUUGCAUUAGGCUGUGCUCAUCACUGCUCUUCGAGGUUAUCUCGACAUGCAGAAGCCGCCAAUGCCAGUGACAGAAGAGUCUGACAUUAGAUCUCUACGCUAUGCGGCACACAGGCAGUACACACUAUGUACACGGCAAAUUGGGCAAGCACGUUCGUUGUCGUCUUCCAGCCUGCGUUGUGAAUACCAUCAGGCAAAGAUAUCCAAAUCCUGCACCACCUCAGCCUUCUCAGGAGGCUUCCACCUGGAAUUUGGCAGGGAAACACGCUUCUCCAAGGCAGGAACAUGGAGGUUGCCAUUUGCAACCGCUACCACCUCACACAUGAGCUUGUCAACAUACUCAUAGCUCUUUCUGUCGUAUAAUUUUCUAUUUGGCCACAGUCUUCUUUAUGCUUUGAGAACUGGACUUUAUACCUUCC
Molecule: long non-coding RNA, 1006 nt
Organism: Sycon ciliatum
Lineage: Eukaryota; Metazoa; Porifera; Calcarea; Leucosolenida; Sycettidae
Exons: 2
Source: RefSeq, a predicted model, not a curated record